GCUGUCUUACUUUAUUCAAAUGCCUAUGCAGGAAAUCUCCACUGAAGUGGCUGACGUAUUGUUACAAUAUUUUUUUCCCAUUGCCCAUCUUAUUUAAUGUUCUUAAGUAGUCCCUUUUACCAGUAUGUGCAAAGGAAAAGCUCUACAGCACUGCUACGGUCAUCCAAUUAAUGUCUGAUUCCUUAACUUCAAAUUCAACAAUGAUAAUGGUUCUUCUGAGCCAGAAAAAUAGUGGAUGGGGCCGUGUGUUUUUCACUUUCCUUGUAAUUAACGUAUCAGAAAAGGGGGACAAUAUUCUCCUAAGAAUAUACUUUUCUCUCUGUGUAUCUCAACUGAUAUAAGACAAUUUUUUACAUACCUUUAAACAGAAUAGUGAUGAUUCUAAGGGAGAAUAAACAGCCAUCACACCAGAGGGAAAGACAACGGCUUUUUUCUUCUCUCUACUAUCUUGAUAUGAUACACCUGAUUUUGUUUUAAAAAGAAAACUAUGCAUCUGGAUAUAAGACAUCAUGUUUGUGAGACCAAUUUAAGUCAGAAGAAAAUAAAGGAACUGACUGAAUGAGAAAAACUGAUGUAGGACUUAUUCCAUUUCGGUUCCUACAGACAGGAGAGGAAGUGCUACAAUGUUGGCUGAGCUGAAUAUGUCCAUCUGCACAGGAGUCUCUGGUCUAGCUGAAGAAGACCUGUGGGCCAGACGAGUAAUCAAAACCUUUUGGUGGAUUGCCCAGUUCACCUCACUCAGCCAAGAUGUACUCCUUUACAUCCAAGGCAUCAGGCCAAGGUCAUUUUCUGGUGUUUUUAGUGGCUGACAUCAACAGCAUUACUGAGAGACCUUGUGGGAGAGAAUGGGGUCCCUGGAGUUCACCAGUAGGCAAAAGCCCAAAGAAGGUGUUUUCCUCAUUUGGGGAAAAGAAGUGAAGAGUCUCAUAGAAACCCUCUUUUUUGCUCCUGACCCAAAUCAGAAAGUGCUCCUGCAGCCUGAAGUGCCCUGUAAAUGACCUGAAGCAAGUCAUUUAAUCCAUCUGUCCCUUGUUUCCACAUCCGUAAAAUGGAGAUAAUCCUUCUCUUCUUCUCCAGGCAGUUUGGAAGAUAAAUUCAUUAAUUCUUGGGAGUUGCUCAGUGCUU
This 1125-nucleotide long non-coding RNA is filed under the name Anas platyrhynchos platyrhynchos (common mallard). RNAcentral describes it as "lncRNA (ENSAPLG00000029786.1)". The record is from RNAcentral. Lineage: Eukaryota; Metazoa; Chordata; Aves; Anseriformes; Anatidae.